AUCACUUGUGAGCUGAGACUACAGAGCGGGGGAUUUCCUAUGGGGUGAAUCGCAAGUGAUUGCGUAGGGCUUUACACCUUGAUGCCCGAAUCCGUCAACUAACCUCGUAAGCAAAGAAAGGUGGAUUC
Molecule: small RNA, 128 nt
Filed under: Desulfitobacterium metallireducens
Lineage: Bacteria; Bacillati; Bacillota; Clostridia; Eubacteriales; Desulfitobacteriaceae
Also listed under: 1 other name
Description: c-di-AMP sequence
Rfam family: c-di-AMP riboswitch aptamer (ydaO/yuaA leader)
About the family: This family represents a conserved RNA structure found upstream of the ydaO and yuaA genes in Bacillus subtilis and related genes in other bacteria. The ydaO/yuaA element is thought to act as a genetic "off" switch for the ydaO and yuaA genes in its native state. It is believed that the element may be triggered during osmotic shock leading to activation of ydaO, a predicted amino acid transporter gene, and members of the yuaA-yubG operon which code for KtrA and KtrB K+ transporters.
Source: RNAcentral